Molecule: unclassified non-coding RNA, 209 nt
Filed under: Glomus sp.
Lineage: Eukaryota; Fungi; Glomeromycota; Glomeromycetes; Glomerales; Glomeraceae
Description: partial contains 5.8S ribosomal RNA and internal transcribed spacer 2
Rfam family: 5.8S ribosomal RNA (bases 1-65)
Source: RNAcentral
GUGAAUCAUCGAAUCUUUGAACGCAAAUUGCACUCUCUUCGGAUAGUAUGCCUGUUUGAGGUUCAGCCUAAAAAAAAUCGACAUAGUCGCUGUUUCGCGGUUACAUUCGGCGGAACUUGGGUCUUCUUAAACCUUUUGGGUUUAAGCGGCUUAAAAUUUUCUUUAUGAUUGCACGGACGUUUCUAAGAUUUACUUACACGGUUAAGUUA